This is a small nuclear RNA of Vigna unguiculata (cowpea), 117 nucleotides long. RefSeq annotates it as U5 spliceosomal RNA. The record is from RefSeq and is a predicted model, not a curated record. Lineage: Eukaryota; Viridiplantae; Streptophyta; Magnoliopsida; Fabales; Fabaceae.
AGCCGUGUGAUAAGCACAAAGCGAACUAUUCUUUCGCCUUUUACUAAAGAAUACCGUGUGCUUGUCACUCUAAGCGGCAUACGCCAAUUUUUGAAAGGGCUUUUCUUUAGUAAAGUU